Molecule: ribosomal RNA, 850 nt
Filed under: Salmonella enterica subsp. enterica serovar Cerro
Lineage: Bacteria; Pseudomonadati; Pseudomonadota; Gammaproteobacteria; Enterobacterales; Enterobacteriaceae
Description: partial 23S ribosomal RNA
Rfam family: Bacterial large subunit ribosomal RNA
Source: RNAcentral
GGGUUGUGAGGUUAAGCGACUAAGCGUACACGGUGGAUGCCCUGGCAGUCAGAGGCGAUGAAGGGCGUGCUAAUCUGCGAUAAGCGCCGGUAAGGUGAUAUGAACCGUUAUAACCGGCGAUACCCGAAUGGGGAAACCCAGUGUGACUCGUCACACUAUCAUUAACUGAAUCCAUAGGUUAAUGAGGCGAACCGGGGGAACUGAAACAUCUAAGUACCCCGAGGAAAAGAAAUCAACCGAGAUUCCCCCAGUAGCGGCGAGCGAACGGGGAGGAGCCCAGAGCCUGAAUCAGCAUGUGUGUUAGUGGAAGCGUCUGGAAAGGCGCGCGAUACAGGGUGACAGUCCCGUACACAAAAGCGCAUGUGCUGUGAGCUCGAUGAGUAGGGCGGGACACGUGGUAUCCUGUCUGAAUAUGGGGGGACCAUCCUCCAAGGCUAAAUACUCCUGACUGACCGAUAGUGAACCAGUACCGUGAGGGAAAGGCGAAAAGAACCCCGGCGAGGGGAGUGAAAAAGAACCUGAAACCGUGUACGUACAAGCAGUGGGAGCCCCACCACUAAGCCAGUGGUGAACUCCACAUACGCAUCCUUUGCUGAGGAUACGGUUAACGGAGCGAAAGCGACGUUCAACCGCAAAAGAAGCAGAGGGGGCUUAGUGGUGGGGUGACUGCGUACCUUUUGUAUAAUGGGUCAGCGACUUAUAUUCUGUAGCAAGGUUAACCGAAUAGGGGAGCCGGAGGGAAACCGAGUCUUAAUUGGGCGUUAAGUUGCAGGGUAUAGACCCGAAACCCGGUGAUCUAGCCAUGGGCAGGUUGAAGGUUGGGUAACACUAACUGGAGGACCGAACCGAC